UUGUUAUACAAUUAAGAAAGAAAAUUUCAAAGUAGCUAGCAGGAAACUUCACCAGCUGUGCUUUUAUCUGUACCCAAUUUGUUUCAUUUGCCAGUCAAGUCUAAAUUUCCAGUAAACCCUGUCCUUUUCUUCCAACAAACACAAUUCAAUUUGGCAAGAAAAGUUUCAUGGGGAGGACUGGAUCGUUUGAUCUUGAAAGGCACUUUGCAUUUUAUGAGCAUAUCACAGCAACCCAGUUAACAUUUUGAUACACACUUUCUUUGUGUGGCCAUUGUUCUUCACUGCUGCCGUUCUUCUCCAUUUCACACCUUCACUCUACAAUUUCCCAUCUGGGAUUAGUGAACAUGGUCUUGAAUUGAAUUUUGGGUUUGUUUUUACUUUGAUGUAUGCUGUUUUUUAUGUUUGCUUGGAUAAGAAAGCAGGGCCCCUGGCAGCUUUGCUCUGCUUUCUCUGUUGGGUUGGAGCCAGUUUUCUUGCUGGUGGACUUGGGUUUUCCAGGUCAUGGAAGCUUGUUCUGGCUGCUCAGUUGUUCUGCUGGACUGGACAGUUCAUAGGCCAUGGGAUAUUUGAGAAAAGAGCACCGGCUCUUUCAGACAACUUUGUUCAAGCACUUCUAAUGGGGCCUUACUUUGUGCUGCUUGAGCUUCUUCAAUCAGCCUUUGGCUAUGAACCUUAUCCAGGUUUCCAUGCAAGUGUGCAAAAACAGAUUGAAGCUGAUAUCAAAGAGUGGAAGGCCAAGAACCAAAAGAAACUAAGAUGAAUGAACUACUUUAAUUUGAAUUGAUAUUUAUGAAUGUACUGGAAUGCAACUUGCAUUUUGUCUUGUCA
Molecule: RNA transcript, 828 nt
Organism: Prunus dulcis (almond)
Lineage: Eukaryota; Viridiplantae; Streptophyta; Magnoliopsida; Rosales; Rosaceae
Gene name: 2-hydroxy-palmitic acid dioxygenase mpo1-like
Exons: 1
Source: RefSeq, a predicted model, not a curated record